Molecule: non-coding RNA, 4683 nt
Organism: Microcebus murinus (gray mouse lemur)
Lineage: Eukaryota; Metazoa; Chordata; Mammalia; Primates; Cheirogaleidae
Source: RefSeq, a predicted model, not a curated record
CAGGUGUACACCACCACGCCUGGCUAAUUUUUCUAUUUUCUGUAGAGAUAGGGUCUCGCUCUUGCUCAUGUUAGAGCCGGUUUCCUUCGGCCCCAGGAACAGAGAGGCAGAAUCGCUGAGGCUGCAAAGCACAGAGGAGUUUAUUGGCUAGCUCGAGCUCGGGUCCAGGUCCCAGCACCAACGCAGCGGCCUCCCUACGAACCAGGACCCCGCCCUGGGGUCCCUUCCCCACCUUCCUUCUGUGUGGGACUCAGCACAGCCGUAUGCUGAAGGACAAGGUGAGGCCUGUGGCCAGACCACCCCAGAUGUACCCACUCUGGUCUGAGAGACAAGGUGGCAGCGGAAGGUCAUGAAGGACAGUCCCGUCCUUCCACACGGAUGGCAGCUCCUCACUCCGAGCCUGCAGUGAAACAGCCCUGCAAGUUCGGGACACCCUGACUUCGCCACGGUGGGGGCCAGUCUCUGGGAAGAAGGUGCCUGGUUUAGUCAUUUCAAAAUACUGACAUUUCUACCCAGAGUACAGUAAACCACAUAUUGGCUUAGCAUUUAUUAUUUCCCCAAAGUCAAAAACAGAAUACUUCUUCCUCAGGUUUCUUAGCUGUGAGUGAACUACUAUAAUUUGCCAUACGUCAAAUUAACCGCUGACUGAUCGGUCACUGUGAGUUAAGACUAUAUUGAAGUUAUCUCCUUUGGGAAUUCUGACUAUUGUUUUUAAUCAUUUUCAUGUCAGGAGGGAAGAAAGUCCUGAAGAUGUAUUUCGCUGUGUUUGUACUUAUUAGAUAGCUUCCUGUGUUACACCAGUGAGUCCUAGAAGAAUUGAGAUCAGGGAACUUCAAAGUGAAAAAUUCUAACUAAAAAGUAGCACUUUCUCUUUCAGAUUAGCCAUAAUUUUUCAAAUAGUUUGACCAAAUUAUGGAAGAUAGUGUUUAUUCACUAGUUGUAAUUAACAUUUGUGUACUUACUGUGACCUCCCUGCCUCAUGUAUCAAUUCUCAUGUAUUUUAGGAAGAAAAGCUUUUAUCCAGCAUUAUUCUCUAUGUUUUGUUUUCCUACUUUGAAGUGGCAUCUGAAGCUAUUCAGUCCUCUGAAUUUGAAAAUAAUCUUUUCUUUGGAACUAAGGGCAGUGGUUCUCAAACUUAAGUGUGUAUCAGUGACAUGCAGAGGGUUAGUCUAAACACUGAUAGCUGGGGCCAUUCCCAGAGUUUCUGAGCCAGCAGGUCUGGGGAGAACUUGCAUUUCUAAGCAAGAUCUCAGGUGCUGCUGGUGGGUGGUCCAGGAACUCCACUUUGAGAACCACUGCUCUAGAUGAAGAGGAGACAGCAGCUGAGUUGGCAUGCCUUCCCCAACUCCCACCUCACUGCAGCCCCUUCCUGAGUCCCUUUCCCCUUCCAGGACUUGGCACACACUCCCCUCCCUGACAGCCCCCACCCCGCAGACCUCCACACUUUGCAUACAGCUGGAGCACAGCCCGGCUCUCAGAAGUCACUGAGCUACUGGCACACAAUGGGGCAAAGAAAGGAGCGGCUGUAGCCAAAGCCUCAGCAUAAAGACUUAGCCUGCUGGCAAAUGCUGGGGUCCCCAUUGUCCAGGCACACUCUCUCACCUCCCCCUUCUUAAUUUUUUAUUGUAAUUAACAUAACUAAACUGGGAACUCACAUCUUUGUCCUCAUCUCAGCCACUCUAACCUGCAGGCUCUUUGGAAACAUGGUAGAAAGAAACAAUGGUCAAAGUGAGAAACCUCAGGACCUUGCACAAGAUGGACGUCCAGAGAGCAUUUUCUUUAUCAUUUUCAAAUCAAAACACUCCCAGCCUCCUUACUGGAGGAAACAGGCAUGUAACAGCUUAAACAGGCUCCUCACAGGAGCAGAUGCUGUCUGCUGCGUUCUCAGCGUAGCGGGUGCAUGGGGCAGGGCCGGCACCCUCAUCAUCAGUGGGAUCAGAUUAGCUUUCUGUCCUCCUGCAAGGUCACCAGCUGCAAAUGCAAAUUUGCAAUGAGAAAGGGUUCCGUUUCCAAUCUCUACCAGUCUGGGGGGGCGGGGGAGGGGUCAGUUACCUAGGUGACAGGCUGUGCUGUUUUCCUGGUGGGUAAAUUCACAGGGAGAAGUGGAAGGGAAAAGAUUAAAAUGAGCCUGGGCCAUGAACUAGCCCAAUUCACUAGUGAAGGCUGACCUCCGGCCACCACUGAGAACUGCGGACCACGUUUCAGCCUGUUCUCUAACUUCCUAAUCCCUUUUCCAAUCAUGCCAUGGAUUACAAAUUUGAUUGUUCACUGUUUAUUUUUCAAUUCAUAUUCAUUAGCCAAAAAAAAAAAAAACCAGUAGUGCAAUUUGUAUUUUUCACAAGUGAGUUAUACUGCUUCAUAGCAAUUAAUGCUAAAUUCUCAAGUUAUAAUAGGACAAUGAAGCUUGUACGAGUAUACAGACUUUUCUUUCCCUGUCUUAGAAUUAUAGAGAAGUACCAACUCUUGAAUAACUCUGUAAGAUUGUAGUUUAAAUGUAUCUAUGUAUCCAUCCACGUGCCUCAUUCCUUCCUUCCUUCUCUUCUCCUCUGUCUCUUCUCAGUCUUUGUCUCUUUCUCCAGUCCUGUCAACGUUAACAACCCAAAGCUCAGUUUGUGCUCCUUCUUUCCCCCAGGGCCUUGUCCCCAGAGUCCGUGCGACUGACCACUAAAACAGGAUGGACAAAUAAAGGAACAAAUAAAGAAACGAACACAAACUAACUAGGGUCCAAUUGGGUUUACCUUGAAAUAGAGUCCCUCUCUCUUUGCUCCCAGCUGGGCUCCUUAUGAAGACACGAAGACCCAGUGGGGACCAUCAUUUCAGCUUAAAAGACAUUCAUUCUUGACUUUCCAAUAAAUCUGCUGUGAGGACAGAGUGAUGCCUGAUUUCUCUGCAGAGAAAAUACAUAGAGCUUUCUUAUGACCUUCACCUGGGUAUGAGCUUCACUCCCACAAGCAGCUGUGUCAAGAAAGAGAGAACAGAGCUGGGAGAUUCCUUCCAGGACCACGAGGACACUGAAUGGGGUCACUUCAUGUCAGCUACUGGGAGGUCAGCUGGCUGGACCAACGCCCAAGGUCCCAGCAAACACACCCUGAAUGCCUCCCUUGGCUGGUUGCUGGUUGCCAUGGCAACACGACAGCCCACAAAGACAGGCAGGGUGGGGCCGAGCAGGAAAAGACCAGAAGGCUGAGCUGUUGCAUGGGGGCAUGGUGGGCCCGGGAUUCCGGAAAGAGCUUCAAGUACUUGAGACACUUAAUGGCACUUUUUUUUCUAAUGAAGGAAAAAUGAUAAAUGGUGAUGAUGAAGAUAAUUGCACCAUGGUGGAGAAAAGGAAAGGAAAUCUUAAAAACCUGGAAGGGACUAGCUUCAUCCCAUGAAGGCAUGGGAUAGUGAGAAAACAAUGUCCAGCGGAGUUUACAGUCCUGUGGCAGGAGGAGAGGUAAAGCUGGAAAGGAACAACUGGUCUUUGAAACUGAGAAAAAAAGGAAAUGCAAGAGUCUAGGAGGCGCCCUCCAAGGCAGCCUGGGGCAGUGAGUGACCUUGGAGAUGACAAAGCCCAACUUGUGUUGGAAAUGGAACCGCAGCAGCCGCCCUCUGCAGCCCGGGAGCCACCAACAGUUUGAUAUUCAGUGCUGCCGGAUGGCUGGAGAUUUUGCACUGCCUUGACUUAAAGUUUUCUUCCUUCCUAUGAAAUCAGACCUUUCUUGUAAUGUGAAAAUGGAUUUAAGUGGCUGUUUCAAGCAGUCAUCACAAGUCACAUCAGACACAUAAUGCAAAAAAAGUGUGGGGCUGGUUUCUAGCAGGCGCAGCUUCUUGUUAAGGGUUCGGGCUCCAGCCCUCUGGAAAUCUGCUCACCCUCUGAGGAGGGAUGAGGCCUUCAGACACCAGCGGUGCGUAAGUGCCCUGGGCUGGCGCUGCGGGCGGGAGCACUCCUGCAACGGCCGGCCAGGAGCUGCAACACAUUGUGACCUUAGUCAGAGGGACCACUGCUAAGAAGGGCUCUGGCCUUCCUGGCUGUCUUGCCUGGGUUAACUGAAAAGCCCUACGUCUUGAGUGACCAAGGCCAACAUUAAACAUUUCUCUAUAAAUUAAUCUGAGUGGAGAGUGAACAGAACCAAUGUUAUUACUUCCAAAAGAGUGAAAACAAUGCCAAGAUUCUGUUUAGAGUCCAGUCGGGCUCAUUUUAUAGCAAAUCAUUAGCCGUAUAUGAACCUUCCUUGGAACGCCAAUCAAUCAUGUAGAUCACAAUUUGAAGGAAUGCCCCAUUCUAGAACUUGCUUUCAAACACUUUCUUCAGAAGAUGCUACAGAAAGUUGUCCAGUAAAACAAAAAGUCACAUAUUCUUUGGACUGAGUUUAACUUCUGCCUUUGCUUCCUGGAAUUGAUCCUAGUGAUGGAUCCUGAUGAUCCUGCUGCUCUCUCCCAACCCACAGCCCAGGAAAGCCCAGCCGCCACUGAUGCUCAUCUGAUAGGAGUUUCUCCCUGAGGAUCUGUCUGCUCUAAGACCUUGGUUAACACUUAUAUCUAUAUAAGAAUACUUGAGGAGAAUAUCCAGUAAAUGUAAAGAGCUCAAGGCAGACAACUCAAUAAAAAGAUGGGCGAAGGACGGGAAAAAACAUUAAAACCAAAAUGAAAUACCACCAUAUACCCAUCAGAAUGGAUAAAAUGAAAAAGACGGGCAGUUUC